Long non-coding RNA from Condylura cristata (star-nosed mole), 1329 nucleotides. RefSeq lists it as uncharacterized. Lineage: Eukaryota; Metazoa; Chordata; Mammalia; Eulipotyphla; Talpidae. The transcript has 4 exons. The record is from RefSeq and is a predicted model, not a curated record.
GCGAACGGCAGGCCUGGACGCUGAUUAAGUGCGAGCUGUGCUCUGGGAGCUGGGCUGGAGACACACGUGGACCAGAGGUGCGCAGGCUGCGACAUGGGGCAGGGCUGCGGCUGUGAAGAGAGUAGACCCCCUGAACCACCCAUAUGGGACCCCUCAUUGGAGGGUGGCCUCAGCCAAGAACUCAGAAAACGCAAGGACUCAAGAACUCAGGGAGGAAUACUCUUCUACCUCAUUCCUUAGGGCAACAUGACCCUUCUUGGAGUGUAAGAGGAAGAAGAAGUAUACUGGGGUCUGCCCAGGGCCCCCACCUGAACACUGCUGCCGGCUGCGUGGCCUUGGCAAACACACCCUCUCUGUUGGCACCUUCUCCGGGAAACAGCAAUAACACACUCAUCUGGUCGGUCAGAAUUGGCAUCUCCACCACCACCUCUCAUCGUGGUGUGCCCUCCUGGGGCAAUGACCAUGCCUGCUGUGGGGAGCUGUUCGCCUAACCCUCACGUGCUUGUGACUGUGCCCUCGGGAAAAGGCAAAACAAAGAGAGAAGACACAGAGGAAGAGGACAAGGCUGCAGAAGGCAAGGCACAGGCUAGACUAGUACAGCCAUCAACGGAAGACACCUGCGGCCACCAGACCCUUUGCUGGGAGCAUGGUCUGCCAACCCUUCACUUCAGACUUCUGGCCUUUACAAUGCUGAUGAAGUUUCUGUUGUUUUAAGUCACCCAGAUGGCAGCCAUGGGAAACUAAUAUAGCGGCCAUGAGGCUUGAUCCUUGACACGGUGCUGGCUUGGGGAUGGAGCACAGAGCCAGACAGACCAGACCCUUGGGCCGUGCACAGUCAAGCUGAGGCCCAAAGCAGACCCCUUACCCUGAAGGAACCUGCGGAUAGCGGGAAGGUUUAUGGGAACAGGGUGCAGCAAGGUUACGGUUUAAGAGAUAAGUAGGAGUUAGUCAGAAGCCAGCUCUGGCUGAAGCUGAGAUAGCAUAACCCAGCAACCUGUAGUAAUUGUGGUUGUCAGUUGUAAACUGUUGGGAUGAUAGCUUAAAUCAAACCUCACUUACUUACCCAGUGCUGCUGUAUAAGGGGAUGGUCCUGAGAAACUGAGGUUCACAGAAAUAAUGCUUCCCAGGUCUGCAUGAUGUCUCGAGAAUUAAGCCAGAAUUUCAACCCAGGGCUGGAUGGGGAGCCCCCAGAUGACAUAGGCACCCAUAGGCCCCAAGGCGGUCCAUGGGGUGUGAUAGCAGUGCUCCCUGUCUUGUGAACCCGUAGCAGACUUUUAAUGACCUCUCCCACAUCUCCCACUGUGACCUUGCUUGCCUCAUGUCACAAAA